Molecule: ribosomal RNA, 497 nt
Filed under: uncultured bacterium
Lineage: Bacteria
Description: partial 16S ribosomal RNA
Rfam family: Bacterial small subunit ribosomal RNA
Source: RNAcentral
GAUGAACGCUGGCGGCGUGCCUAAUACAUGCAAGUAGAGCGAACAGGUAAGAGCUUGCCUCCUCGGACGAUAGCGGCGGAGGGGUGAGUAACACGUGGAUCACCUAUCUAUACGACGGGGAACACUUCGGGAAACCGGAGAUAAUACCGGAUAACAUUUGGAACCGUAUGGUUCUAAAGUGAAAGAUAAUUUUGCUAUCACUAAUAGAUGCACCCUCGCCUUAUUACCUAGUUGGUAAGAAAACGGCUUACCAAGACGACGUUCAGUAGCCCACCUGAGAGGUGGAUCGGCCACACUGGAACGGAGACACGGCCCAGCUCCCUACGGGAGGCAGCAGUAGGGAAUCUUGCGCAAUGGGCGAAGUCCUGACGGAGCAACGCCGCGUGGGUGAUGAAGGGUUUCGGCUGGUAAAACUCUGUUAUUAGGGAAGAACAAAUGUGUAAGUAACUGUGCACGUCUUGACGGUACCUAAUCAGAAAGCCACGGCUAACUACGUG